Molecule: unclassified non-coding RNA, 188 nt
Filed under: soil metagenome
Description: partial internal transcribed spacer 1
Source: RNAcentral
CAAUAAGAGUGUUUAUGGCACUCUUCAAAAAAUCCAUACCCACCUUGUGUGCAACGUAAGAAGAGAAAAAGAAGAUGCGAGUCAUGGGGAAACCCAAGUCUUGCUCCCUUUCUUUUUUCUUUUCCACAUACACCUUUCUAUUAGUUCCUAUUGUCUGAAGCUGUUAGAGAAUGACUAAUUCUUAAACA